Molecule: long non-coding RNA, 506 nt
Filed under: Marmota monax (woodchuck)
Lineage: Eukaryota; Metazoa; Chordata; Mammalia; Rodentia; Sciuridae
Source: RNAcentral
CUCCUUGGUAGUGUUGAUGUUUUUUGAGUUGCUGCUGCUUCUGUGUCUGAGGGAACCGUAGAUGGAAGGAUGGUGUGCGAAAAAUGUGAAAAGAAACUUGGUACUGUUAUCACUCCAGAUAUAUGGAAGAUGAUGCAAGGAAUACCACAGAAAGUGGUGGAAGAAAGCUGAAUGAAAAUAAAGCUUUGACUUCAAAAAAAGCAAGAUUUGAUCCAUAUGGAAAGAAUAAAUUCUCCACUUGCAGAAUUUGUAAAAGUUCUGCGCACCAACCAGGUUCCCAUUACUGCCAGGGCUGUGCCUAAAGAAAGGUCAUCUGUGCAAUGUGUGGAAAAAAGGUUUUGGAUACCAAAAAUUACAAGCAAACAUCUGUGUAGAUGUAUUGAUGAAGUUACUAGCUUUUUGUGAUUUUUCUUUCUGCUUUGAAUUUUCAAGGCAUAAAUAGAUGUUCAACUUAAAAAAUAACCUAUUUCAGGACAAAUGAUUAAGUUUUAGCCAGGAAAGUUGAU